This 1041-nucleotide ribosomal RNA is filed under the name Providencia rettgeri. RNAcentral's name for it is "partial 23S ribosomal RNA". It matches the Rfam family "Bacterial large subunit ribosomal RNA", at positions 162 to 1239 of the family's 2925-position model. The record is from RNAcentral. Lineage: Bacteria; Pseudomonadati; Pseudomonadota; Gammaproteobacteria; Enterobacterales; Morganellaceae.
AUACAUAGUCAAACGAAGCGAACCGGGGGAACUGAAACAUCUCAGUACCCCGAGGAAAAGAAAUCAACCGAGAUUCCCCUAGUAGCGGCGAGCGAACGGGGAGCAGCCCAGAGUCUUAAUCAGCAUUAGUAUCAGGAGAACGGUCUGGAAAGUCCGGCAGUAAAGGGUGAUAGCCCCGUAUCUGAAGAUAUUAGUGUUGUGAACUCGACGAGUAGGGCGGGACACGUGUUAUCCUGUCUGAAUAUGGGGGGACCAUCCUCCAAGGCUAAAUACUCCUGAUUGACCGAUAGUGAACCAGUACCGUGAGGGAAAGGCGAAAAGAACCCCGGCGAGGGGAGUGAAAUAGAACCUGAAACCGUGUACGUACAAGCAGUGGGAGCCUUGAUUUAUCAGGGUGACUGCGUACCUUUUGUAUAAUGGGUCAGCGACUUAUAUUCUGUAGCAAGGUUAACCGUAUAGGGGAGCCGUAGGGAAACCGAGUCUUAACUGGGCGAAUGAGUUGCAGGGUAUAGACCCGAAACCCGGUGAUCUAGCCAUGGGCAGGUUGAAGGUUGGGUAACACUAACUGGAGGACCGAACCGACUAAUGUUGAAAAAUUAGCGGAUGACUUGUGGCUGGGGGUGAAAGGCCAAUCAAACCGGGAGAUAGCUGGUUCUCCCCGAAAGCUAUUUAGGUAGCGCCUCGUGAACUCAUCUUCGGGGGUAGAGCACUGUUUCGACUAGGGGGUCAUCCCGACUUACCAACUCGAUGCAAACUACGAAUACCGAAGAAUGUUAUCACGGGAGACACACGGCGGGUGCUAACGUUCGUCGUGAAGAGGGAAACAACCCAGACCGCCAGCUAAGGUCCCAAAGUCAUAGUUAAGUGGGAAACGAAGUGGGAAGGCUCAGACAGCCAGGAUGUUGGCUUAGAAGCAGCCAUCAUUUAAAGAAAGCGUAAUAGCUCACUGGUCGAGUCGGCCUGCGCGGAAGAUGUAACGGGGCUAAACUAUGCACCGAAGCUGCGGCAGCGAUAUGUAAAUAUUGUUGGGUAGGGGAGCGU